Molecule: ribosomal RNA, 405 nt
Filed under: uncultured prokaryote
Also listed under: 1 other name
Description: bacterial SSU rRNA
Rfam family: Bacterial small subunit ribosomal RNA
Source: RNAcentral
UGGGGGAUAUUGCACAAUGGGGGAAACCCUGAUGCAGCAACGCCGCGUGAAGGAAGAAGGUCUUCGGAUUGUAAACUUUUGUCUUGCGGGACGAAUAAUGACGGUACCUCAAAAACAAGCCACGGCUAACUACGUGCCAGCAGCCGCGGUAAUACGUAGGUGGCGAGCGUUGUCCGGAAUUACUGGGUGGAAAGGGCGUGUAGGCGGGAAAGUAAGUCAGAUGUGAAAUACCGGGGCUUAACUCCGGGGCUGCAUCUGAAACUGUUUGUCUUGAGUGUCGGAGAGGAAAGCGGAAUUCCUAGUGUAGCAGUGAAAUGCGUAGAUAUUAGGAGGAACACCAGUGGCGAAGGCGGCUUUCUGGACGACAACUGACGCUGAGGCGCGAAAGCGUGGGGAGCAAACAGG